GCACUCACUGUGGCAGCACUUACAUUACAACUGGAGCAACACGAUAUUAGCGUGGCCCCUGUGCAAGGAUGACACACAAAUCGUGAUGCCCUCCACAGUUUU
Molecule: small nuclear RNA, 102 nt
Filed under: Castor canadensis (American beaver)
Lineage: Eukaryota; Metazoa; Chordata; Mammalia; Rodentia; Castoridae
Source: RNAcentral